Long non-coding RNA from Heterocephalus glaber (naked mole-rat), 863 nucleotides. NCBI's taxonomy places the organism in Eukaryota, Metazoa, Chordata, Mammalia, Rodentia, Bathyergidae. The record is from Ensembl.
GAAAGUGCUCAGCUUCUAGAAGCUGGGAACUUUCUGGCCUAGGCUGCAGCGUCCUCUCGGCCCCCCCACCCCCAUCCUAAGUUUCCCGAGGUCUCCCGGCCUCGCCCAGCCCGGGGGUUUCCGCCGUCCCUUUCCCGGCCCCCUCCCACCCCCAACUGCACCCCAAAUGAAGCUAACGCCGGACUGGGGCUCUCCUGUCGGGAGGGACCUGCUCUGGAUCUCCUGCCGCUGUUAGAGCCAAACCCAAGGCAGGCGGCCUACUCGUUCCGAGAGCAUCGGGAGCUUCGCAGAUGUGGAGAUGGUUAUUUGUAGUUUAUCCUCACAGCAAACUGGGGCGAAUCCGCUCCACACACUACUGAGCGCCUACUGUGUACCAAGUCUCUACUAAGCCUGUUCUCCAACAGGAUCCGGGUCGGAGUGGGAUAGAGAACCAAGAGCUGAGAGCCAGCGUCUGCCUCUGGCUGGGGUUAUUCGCUCACGGAUUACUGAAGUCGGUAAAUAUUUACGAAAAUCUCACAAAGUCACCAAGUUGCCCAGGCCGGGCUAGAACUUGUGAGCCUCCUGCCUGAGGCCUUUCCAGAGUGCUUUCCAACGUGCUGGGGUUACAAGUGGGCACCACUGUGCUCAGGUACAGUACCUAUUUGUUUGUUUGUUUAAAUGUAGUGUGAAUACUUAAAAUUUACCCUCUCAGCGAAUUUCAAGCACACAACAUGUCAGUACUGCAGGAGGGCCUUGGAAGCCAGAGUAGAAAGCAAUGAGUGAUUCACCCAACCUCGGAAAGCUGCAGCUCACACCCCAGUGGGUCUGUUCAGACAGCUGGAUCUAUGUUGGGUACCUCAGAAAGGCUCAGACGUUUGUAGAAG